This 506-nucleotide ribosomal RNA is filed under the name uncultured bacterium. RNAcentral's name for it is "partial 16S ribosomal RNA". It matches the Rfam family "Bacterial small subunit ribosomal RNA", at positions 28 to 523 of the family's 1533-position model. The record is from RNAcentral.
GAUGAACGCUAGCUACAGGCUUAACACAUGCAAGUCGAGGGGUAACGAGAGGAAAGCUUACUUUCCUUGUCGACGACCGGCGCACGGGUGAGUAACGCGUAUCCAACCUGCCCCCAACUAGGGAAUAACCUUGCGAAAGUAAGACUAAUACCCUAUAAUUUCCUCAGAUGUCAUCUGACGAGGAAUAAAGAUUUAUCGGUUGUGGAUGGGGAUGCGUCUGAUUAGCUUGUUGGCGGGGUAACGGCCCACCAAGGCAACGAUCAGUAGGGGUUCUGAGAGGAAGGUCCCCCACAGUGGAAAUGAGACACGGUCCAAACUCCUACGGGAGGCAGCAGUGAGGAAUAUUGGUCAAUGGGCGGAAGCCUGAACCAGCCAAGUAGCGUGCAGGAUGACGGCCCUAUGGGUUGUAAACUGCUUUUAUACAGGAAUAAAGUUAGCCACGUGUGGUUAUUUGUAGGUACUGUAUGAAUAAGGACCGGCUAAUUCCGUGCCAGCCGCCGCAGUAA